AUGCUGACUUUGGAUCCAGGUGACAGUGUAUGGAUUCCUGUUGCAUAUGUUGUUGUUACCGAUGGCGUAUGGACCGUCAUGUGCUUCUGGGUGUUCCUCGUUGUUCCACGGGCAUUUCAGUUCCUUGCUUAUCUUGCCAUAUGGAGCUCCUGCAGUGUUGAGUUUUGUCAAGGCAAGUUGUCAGGGGAUCCAGGCAUCUGGGCCCUUCUCUAUUUCUUCGGACUUUUCACUCAAGCUGAAGUAAUAGGAAGGAGGAAUGUUGUAGCUCCAACCUACUACCACGGCCACUGCCUCAACCAUGCUCUGACAACGUCUCUGUCAACCAACACUAUUACCUCGAUGCUUUCUGUGACCAAGUGA
This 360-nucleotide ribosomal RNA is filed under the name Triticum aestivum (bread wheat). RNAcentral's name for it is "partial small subunit ribosomal RNA". Lineage: Eukaryota; Viridiplantae; Streptophyta; Magnoliopsida; Poales; Poaceae. The record is from RNAcentral.